UGAACCAUAUUUUGAAGAGAUAAGCAAGAGUCUAGUAUCCCUGUGAGAACAGUGAGAAGCUUCUGGCCUCUUUUCAGAUUUCACACCCCAUACUGGCUGCAUGGACCACAGGCCCCCAGAACAACCACUGUCUUCAUGGGAAGGCACUGUGUAAUGAAACAGUCCUUCAGAGGCCCCUGGAAAAGCCAGAUGGCCUGGAUGUUUCGGAUCAGAGCAAAGAGCAUCCUCAGCAUCUGUGUGAGAAGUGCAAAGUUUUGGGCUACUACUGCCGCCGUGUGCAAUAAGCCUUCGAAGUGGCCUCUUCCCGUCCCCGUCAUCCUUAAAGAUCCUCUGGCAGCACGCGAUCAACAGCAACACAACAAAUCAAGAUAAAAGCUAAAAUAAUUGCCAAUAUUGCCUAUCUAAUAAUAUGCCUUACCAUUAAUAGAAUGUAACAUUUCUCCUGUGCACGCACGUGCAUGCAACAGGUAUUUACAGGACUAUGAUUUGUAUACAUACAUAUAUGUAAACUUAUAUGUAUAUGUACACACACAUAUAUGAAGCGUUACUGAUAGUGUUCACAACGGAACCGUGGUUGCAGGUUCUGCUGAUUGUUUACACAGACCCUAUAUCAUGGCCAGGUGAAAAGAAGUACUAUUCAAUAGGCAAGGUUUCACAAGGAAUAUAUGUUAUAUGUAUGGCUUUUGCAGAGGUUGAAUAACUGUGGGGCCACUAAUUGCAAGCACUCACCCACAACAUGAACAUUAUUCCUAUUAUAUGACAAGACAAAGGAAAUGAAACAAGCCACAGCAUAAAAGAAGGAAAAAUAUUUUUUUCCCAGUUUUAGAAAGUCUGAGAAGUUUUGUGCUGCUGCUUUCUUGGACUUUUCCCAUUUGUUGCCAUCGCUUGGGCAGGGCUUAGGCAAAACCAGUUUUGCAGGACGUGGCAAAAAAAUAAGUGAAUAAUUGUUUGAGGGUGUGGGUUGGGUAGAAAGGGAAUGCCAUGAUGGGACCCAGAAUCAGGAAGGAUUCCAAGGGGUUUUUAGAGGAGACAAAAUUGGCUUGCUUGUGUGACUAACAGAUCCUUCUCUUGUCAUAUAAUCCCGCUGAAAUGGUCCCUGUAUGUGUAUGGGCUGUUCAUUAGACCACAAGCACACUAAAUUUACUGUGAAUAAGGGGGGAUAAGAAUACUUAAAACUGUCCCUGAAACCCUUAAUUGAAAUAUUAGCCAAACUGACUAUUUAUAAUAGUUUUAAAGCCACUUUCUAGAAAUAUUUUUAUGUCCUCUUUUCUACUGUACAAAUUUGUAAUAAUAUAAAACUUCUUGGCCGUAUGGGUGUUUUGAGGCAUGGAGAACACUCUGUAUAACCUUCCCUCUUUAUGUCUUCCUGGAGCACCUACAUAUCUGAGGAGAAAUGUAGGAGUUAUAUUUCAUUGUCCCAUUUCAGGUAAAACUUUGUGCAGGGGCAUCCUGCUGCAAAGAAGCAUAUUGUCAGGGAUUUGGAAAUACCAUGAACUGAAAGUACCUCGAGACAAUAUCCUGUUUGUAUGUCUACAUAAGUGCACAUUGGCAAAAAGACACAACGAGCAACUCACUUGCAUUAUUCACUAAAAAAGUUACAGGGAUAAUGUUUGCUUUUUUUUUUUUUAAAAUCAACAAUUUCUAUUUUUUAUGAAGUUUCCUUUAGAGAGAUUGUUUUGUCUGAAUGAUACUUAAUGGAAAUACUUUAAAUCCUAAAUAACUUGAUGCGGAUUAAAUUUGUUUCGAGGAUUAAUUCCAUAAUGCUAAGUCAGAGGGGGUUUUAUGCCAAGUUAUAACAGGAUGCUACCAGUAGGUACAGUCAAGCGCUUGUAAAGCAAAUUGAAUACUUAACAGUGAGUAUUCAUAUAGGAAAUGUGAAACUCUGUACAAUUUUGCUCUAGGGUGAAAUUUUUGCCAUUUCCCUGCCUUUCUGUCAGUGGACAAAAUUGUUUCUGCUUUUUCUGUUGGUAAUGUCACACACAUACCUUGCAAACUCCCUUAUUUAUGGGUAGUCCAGGUGACCCAGUCUACUGGUCAGAGCAAUGGAUAAAGCUUGGGACUCCUGGCUUUUUACCAUGGCUCUUCCAUUAGCUCCCUGAUUUGGGGCAAGUCACAGGAUCCUUCUAGACCUCAGUUUCCCCAAGUGCCAAAUGAGGAUAAUAAUACUUCAGCACACAUACCUCACAGGAGAGUUGUGAGACUUACUUAACAUCCGUGUUUUGACAUCACUGGAUAAAAAGUGCUAUGUAAUGCUAAAGUAUUUAGUAUUGAUUAAAUUAAUCACUUUGAAACUAGCUUUGCCUAGUUGGCAAUUCCAUCAACUAAAAGAGCUAAAAAAAAUAUUGAAAGUAAACACUAAUAACGGCUCAGUUGCCUCAGUGAAAAUAUGCAGUUUUAGUAUUUUUGAAUGGAAACACAUUCUUUUGCACAGACUCAGAAAUUACCUUAUACACAAAUUUUCUAAACAAAGAUACUAAUCUGCCCAUGUGAAGAAGAAUAAGAAAAUAGACAGGCAAAUCUAGGGGUGGAUUUUCAAAGCUUGAGCUCCAGUAUUAAUCUUGGUAUUUUGCUUCAAGCACAAUUAAUAUUGAAAGAGACACAUACUAAACCAGGUCUAUUUUUUCCUCUUGAGCACUUAAUAAUACAUUUAAGAAAAGAAAAAAAAAAGAA
This 2670-nucleotide long non-coding RNA is filed under the name Columba livia (rock pigeon). Its description in RNAcentral is "partial uncharacterized LOC102088568". Lineage: Eukaryota; Metazoa; Chordata; Aves; Columbiformes; Columbidae. The record is from RNAcentral.